RNAcentral lists this long non-coding RNA (988 nucleotides) under Homo sapiens (human). Its description in RNAcentral is "HSALNT0350477". The record is from RNAcentral. Lineage: Eukaryota; Metazoa; Chordata; Mammalia; Primates; Hominidae.
AGACGUGACUUGCUCCUCCUUGCCUUCAUCAUGAUUGUGAGGCUUCUCCAGCAACGUGGAACUGAAGUGACGGCAGCCCUGUGACUGUUAACCCGGAAAACUGCGAGAGGCUUUCCCAUGGAGGGGUCCUCACACCUGGGUUCACCCCUGCCGGAAGACACUGCUGCAUUGUGUGCAGCAGCUGCAAGGCCUGCGUGAUGGAAGGCGAGAGCCCCUGGCCGGCUGCCCUGAUGGAGAGACCAAGGAGCUGAGGCGCUAAGGAGAUGACCUAAGGUUGCAAAGUGAAAAGCAAGGCCAAGGAGGGGCUUCAUUUCAAAUACCAGAUGCGGGGCCGGCCCUCCAUCCACUCCUCGGAACGCGGCACUCCGCGGCCUCCCGGGUAGACGGUCUCCACCACUACUUGCUUCUGUUCAUCUCUGACGGCAGAGUUAAAUAAAAUUAAUACUAUUAUUGAAUGCCAAUUUUCAUGUUUAAUUUUAUGGCCAAAUGUGACAAUAAUAGUCAAGAGUUGGCACUAAAAAAAGGUGCUGUGAUUUUUGAAGAGUCUAUAAAAAAAUGGUGGUUUUUAAAAUACCAGAUCAUAUGAUUCAGUCUUUGAACAGCGGAUAGCCUCACCAGGGAAGUCACAAUGACAUUUAAAUACAAAUCAAGGAGUCGGAUCUCAGGAGGCUAGCCACAUAUAAUUCAACUGAACUUUCAUUGAGAGAUAGUUGUUAGUUAUAAGACUAGCUUUCCAAAUGUAUGUGGUACAUCAUAUGUGAAUCGAUUGCCUGUGCAGAACACCAGCCUAUGCUGUUUUGCAAAGAAGUACGAUGCCAAGUGAGAGGGAAGCAGUCAUCUUCCUGACUCGUCCAUCCUGAAUGAGAAGGGACUUUGAGCAGACAAGGAAACGGCGUGAACACGGACGUAUGGAUCACGCCCUGAGAGAGGAUCAUUUUAUCCUUCAGCCUCCUAGAUCAAUUAUGGUAAAAAAGAGAAAUCCUUCUUC